UACGGGGGGUGCGAGCGUUGUUCGGAAUUAUUGGGCGUAAAGCGCGUGUAGGCGGUUUGUUAAGUCUGUUGUGAAAGCCCCGGGCUCAACCCGGGAAGUGCACUGGAUACUGGCAGACUUGAAUACGGGAGAGGGUAGUGGAAUUCCUGGUGUAGGAGUGAAAUCCGUAGAUAUCAGGAGGAACACCGGUGGCGAAGGCGGCUGCCUGGACCGAUAUUGACGCUGAGACGCGAAAGCGUGGGUAGCAAAC
Molecule: ribosomal RNA, 250 nt
Filed under: uncultured bacterium
Lineage: Bacteria
Description: partial 16S ribosomal RNA
Rfam family: Bacterial small subunit ribosomal RNA
Source: RNAcentral